ACAAGAAUAAAAGUACACUUACUGGUUGCUAUACAGAGAAGAACUCCAUCAUUGUGAUACAGCUCCAGUUAUCCCAUGUUUUCUUAGUUCCAGGAAGAAGUGACUUGCAUUAAAAGCAGAAGGAAAAAAAUUACUUUUUAACUCACUUCUGGGCAAGUGAGCUUGCUUUGUAAGUAUCAUGGUUACUUUGCCUUCCUUCCUAUUACAAGAGGUUAUAACAGCACACCUAUCAAUUUGUCCACUGGGGCAGUAAGAAGGGAAUACAUAAUUUUGCCUGCAACCAGCUUGAGAAAAGGU
Long non-coding RNA from Gavialis gangeticus (Gharial), 297 nucleotides. RefSeq lists it as uncharacterized. NCBI's taxonomy places the organism in Eukaryota, Metazoa, Chordata, Crocodylia, Gavialidae. The transcript has 2 exons. The record is from RefSeq and is a predicted model, not a curated record.